Molecule: non-coding RNA, 30 nt
Filed under: Mus musculus (house mouse)
Lineage: Eukaryota; Metazoa; Chordata; Mammalia; Rodentia; Muridae
Source: RNAcentral
UCCACACCUUCUGGGAGCCUACCCACGCUU